AUACUCUUGUUUCUAUUCACAUCAUAAAAAUCUUUUGCUUUUUAUUAAAGAUUUCUGUGGAGAGAAAUGAUUCUGAGUCUUCAGAUUUUUUUAAAUUUAAUUUAUUUAUUAAUU
Molecule: small nuclear RNA, 114 nt
Organism: Perognathus longimembris pacificus (Pacific pocket mouse)
Lineage: Eukaryota; Metazoa; Chordata; Mammalia; Rodentia; Heteromyidae
Product: U5 spliceosomal RNA
Exons: 1
Source: RefSeq, a predicted model, not a curated record